RNAcentral lists this ribosomal RNA (1501 nucleotides) under Ruminococcus sp. A254.MGS-254. RNAcentral describes it as "bacterial LSU rRNA". It matches the Rfam family "Bacterial large subunit ribosomal RNA", at positions 1086 to 2613 of the family's 2925-position model. Lineage: Bacteria; Bacillati; Bacillota; Clostridia; Eubacteriales; Oscillospiraceae. The record is from RNAcentral.
AAGACAACCAGGAUGUUGGCUCAGAAGCAGCCAUACAUUCAAAGAGUGCGUAAUAGCUCACUGGUCGAGAGGUCCUGCGCCGAAAAUGUCCGGGGCUGAAACACGACACCGAAGCUGAGGAAUGUCUGAAGACAUUGGUAGAGGAGCAUUGGAUACGCAACGAAGCAGUACCGGAAGGAGCUGUGGAGUGUAUCGAAGAGAGAAUGCCGGAAUGAGUAGCGAGAGAGAGGUGGGAAUCCUCUCGGCCGAAUAUCUAAGGUUUCCAGGGUAAAGCUGAUCUGCCCUGGGUAAGUCGGGGCCUAAGGCGAGGACGAGAGUCGUAGCCGAUGGACAACAGGUUGAGAUUCCUGUACUGCAGUAAGACAGAACUGUGGGGACACGUGUGGAGAGCAUAGGCGCGGAAUGGAAAGCCGCGUGCAAGCGAGGUAGGAGUCCUGUAGGAAAAACCGCAGGGCAAUCCGAAGGCGUGAUGCGGACCGAAAUCUAGUAGGGAAGUAUGUGAGCCAUGCGUCAAGAAAAGCCGCUAUUGUUCUUAUUGUACCCGUACCGUAAACCGACACAGGUGGAUGAGGAGAGAAUCCUAAGGCCGACGGAAGAAGCAUUGUUAAGGAACUCGGCAAAAUGACCCCGUAACUUCGGGAGAAGGGGUGCCACAGAAAUGUGGCCGCAGAGAAUAGGCUCAAGCAACUGUUUAGCAAAAACACAGGUCUAUGCAAAACCGAAAGGUGAGGUAUAUGGGCUGACGCCUGCCCGGUGCUGGAAGGUUAAGAGGAGAGGUUAGCGCAAGCGAAGCUUUGAAUUGAAGCCCCAGUAAACGGCGGCCGUAACUAUAACGGUCCUAAGGUAGCGAAAUUCCUUGUCGGGUAAGUUCCGACCCGCACGAAAGGCGUAAUGAUUUGAGCGCUGUCUCGACAAUGCAUCCGGUGAAAUUGAAGUACCAGUGAAGAUGCUGGUUACCUGCGCCAGGACGGAAAGACCCCAUGGAGCUUUACUCCAGCUUGAUACUGGGAUUCGGUAUUGCAUGUACAGGAUAGGUGGGAGGCUGAGAAAUGGUAACGCCAGUUGCCAUGGAGCCGUUGUUGGGAUACCACCCUUGCAGUACUGGGUUUCUAACCAGCAGCCGUGACCCGGCUGGGGGACAAUGUCAGGUGGGGAGUUUGACUGGGGCGGUCGCCUCCGAAAGGGUAUCGGAGGCGCUCAAAGGUUCCCUCAGAAUGGUUGGAAACCAUUCGAAGAGUGCAAAGGCAGAAGGGAGCUUGACUGCGACACCGACGGGUGGAGCAGGUACGAAAGUAGGACUUAGUGAUCCGGUGGUAUUAAGUGGGAAUGCCAUCGCUCAACGGAUAAAAGCUACCCUGGGGAUAACAGGCUUAUCACUCCCAAGAGUUCACAUCGACGGAGUGGUUUGGCACCUCGAUGUCGGCUCAUCGCAUCCUGGGGCUGUAGUAGGUCCCAAGGGUUGGGCUGUUCGCCCAUUAAAGCGGUACGCGAGCUGGGUUCA